RNAcentral lists this ribosomal RNA (454 nucleotides) under uncultured bacterium. Its description in RNAcentral is "partial 16S ribosomal RNA". It matches the Rfam family "Bacterial small subunit ribosomal RNA", at positions 28 to 507 of the family's 1533-position model. The record is from RNAcentral.
GAUGAACGCUGACAGAAUGCUUAACACAUGCAAGUCAACUUGAACUUCGGUUUGGGUGGCGGACGGGUGAGUAACGCGUAAAGAACUUGCCUCACAGUUAGGGACAACAUUUGGAAACGAAUGCUAAUACCUGAUAUUAUGAUUUUAGGGCAUCCUAGAAUUAUGAAAGCUAUAUGCGCUGUGAGAGAGCUUUGCGUCCCAUUAGCUAGUUGGAGAGGUAACGGCUCACCAAGGCGAUGAUGGGUAGCCGGCCUGAGAGGGUGAACGGCCACAAGGGGACUGAGACACGGCCCUUACUCCUACGGGAGGCAGCAGUGGGGAAUAUUGGACAAUGGACCAAGAGUCUGAUCCAGCAAUUCUGUGUGCACGAUGAAGUUUUUCGGAAUGUAAAGUGCUUUCAGCUGGGAAGAAAAAAAUGACGAUACCAACAGAAGAAGUGACGGCUAAAUACGUG